AACGAACGCUGGCGGCAGGCCUAACACAUGCAAGUCGAACGGAUGUAGUAAUACAUUAGUGGCGCACGGGAGAGUAACGCGUGGGAACCUACCUUUUGGUUUGGGAUAACGUCGGGAAACUGACGCUAAUACCGGAUAAGCCCUUCGGGGGAAAGAUUUAUCGCCAAUAGAUGGGCCCGCGUUAGAUUAGCUAGUUGGUGAGGUAACGGCUCACCAAGGCGACGAUCUAUAGCUGGUCUGAGAGGAUGACCAGCCUCACUGGGACUGAGACACGGCCCAGACUCCUACGGGAGGCAGCAGUGGGGAAUAUUGGACAAUGGGGGGCAACCCUGAUCCAGCCAUGCCGCGUGAAUGAUGAAGGCCUUCGGGUUGUAAAGUUCUUUUGGUAGGGACGAUGAUGACGGUACCUACAGAAUAAGCUCCGGCUAACUUCGUGUCCAGCAGCCGCGGUAAU
Molecule: ribosomal RNA, 454 nt
Filed under: uncultured bacterium
Lineage: Bacteria
Description: bacterial SSU rRNA
Rfam family: Bacterial small subunit ribosomal RNA
Source: RNAcentral